This 814-nucleotide ribosomal RNA is filed under the name Bradybaena straminea. RNAcentral's name for it is "partial large subunit ribosomal RNA". Lineage: Eukaryota; Metazoa; Mollusca; Gastropoda; Stylommatophora; Camaenidae. The record is from RNAcentral.
GAUAACAAAAAAGGGAUAAAUGUACUAUUACGAAAGAAAGUGAGCUAAACAUUUAUAAUAGUACAUUGCAUACGUAGCAUAGUAUGUAUGAAAUAUAUGUUUAGGGGUGAUAGGCCUUUCAAGCGUUCUUAUAACUUGUUUCAUAUGAAAAGUAUUAAGUACCCAAACAAAUUUAAAAAGUUAAGCUUUUAAAUAACUAUUAAAAAUAUUUUUCCCCUGUAGUGUAGUGUAAUAGCUGUCUAUAUAACACCUUAACAUUAAGUAUAAUAGCUUAUAUUUUAUAAUAUGACAAUACGGAUUUCGUUAUUAUUUGAUAAUGUUAUUAUUAGUAGUAUUAAUAUAUAUGUUAAAGGAACUCGGCAAAUAACUGCUCAACUGUUUAUCAAAAACAUAGCUAUAUGAAUUAAUAUAUAGUUAUUUCUGCUCAAUGAUUUAAAUAGCCGCAGUACUCUGACUGUGCAAAGGUAGCAUAAUCAGUUGGCUUUUAAUUUAAGUCUGGCAUGAAUGAAAAUAUGGGUAGUAACUGUCUUAACACAUUUAUUUGAAAUUAUUAAACAAGUGCAAAUGCUUGUAGUAAAACAAUAGACGAGAAGACCCUAGAAACUUGCGUUCAGUUUUGUUGGGGCGACAGAGUUACAUUUAACUAGCUUUAUAAUACAUGGUAUGAGGUUGUAAGAAUAAGUUACUCUAGGGAUAACAGCAUAAUUUUACUAGUUUGUGACCUCGAUGUUGGACUAGGUACUAUACCCUUAAGGCAGGGGUAUAUUAUGCUCUGUUCGAGCAAAUUUCCCUACAUGAUCUGAGUUCAGACCGG